CCGUGCUAGGCGGGGCGCUAGCGGUGCCCUGUACCCGCAAUCCGCUCUAGCGGGGCUGAAUCCCCUCCCGAGGGGCUCAGGCCUCCGGGGCCAGCACGUCGACUGGUGGCGUCGAUGGCCCGGGUCCCGCGCGAUGUCGGCCCGUGAACCAGGUCAGGUCCGGAAGGAAGCAGCCUUAAGCGGUCACCGGCAGGCGCAGCGGGGAAGCCCGGGCCGGAGUCGCCGGCGACGCCAGCGCCCGGAGAACCGGCUUCGACGGAGGGUGCACGG
Molecule: signal recognition particle RNA, 270 nt
Filed under: Actinomycetes bacterium
Lineage: Bacteria; Bacillati; Actinomycetota; Actinomycetes
Description: Actinobacteria bacterium signal recognition particle sRNA large type
Rfam family: Bacterial large signal recognition particle RNA
About the family: The signal recognition particle (SRP) is a universally conserved ribonucleoprotein involved in the co-translational targeting of proteins to membranes.
Source: RNAcentral